RNAcentral lists this ribosomal RNA (253 nucleotides) under uncultured bacterium. RNAcentral describes it as "partial 16S ribosomal RNA". It matches the Rfam family "Bacterial small subunit ribosomal RNA", at positions 524 to 776 of the family's 1533-position model. The record is from RNAcentral.
UACGAAGGGGGCUAGCGUUGCUCGGAAUCACUGGGCGUAAAGCGCACGUAGGCGGCUUUCUAAGUCAGGGGUGAAAUCCUGGAGCUCAACUCCAGAACUGCCUUUGAUACUGGCAAUCUCGAGUCCGGGAGAGGUGAGUGGAACUGCGAGUGUAGAGGUGAAAUUCGUAGAUAUUCGCAAGAACACCAGUGGCGAAGGCGGCUCACUGGCCCGGUACUGACGCUGAGGUGCGGAAGCGUGGGGAGCAAACAGG